Molecule: long non-coding RNA, 477 nt
Organism: Gavialis gangeticus (Gharial)
Lineage: Eukaryota; Metazoa; Chordata; Crocodylia; Gavialidae
Exons: 2
Source: RefSeq, a predicted model, not a curated record
GCGUGUGAGUAUGCGGUGUGCUUUCAGGAGCCGGGGGGCAUUUCAAAGCAGCACUGAUUUUAUGCUGGGGAAAACAAAGAAUCCUAACAAAGAAUGUCAUUUGCUGAUUGCUGCCGGGGAUUAGAUGACUUCUAAGAACAUUAAAUGAGCAGAGUCUUUAUUUUUAAUGCUUGGGUUCGGCUGUCACAACUGUAUAGUGCUUAUACUAGAGGUUUUAGCUGAUACAGUUUAACAGUGAAAACCAGUACUGAAGUUCUGUAACACAGCCUUUAACAUCUAAAAAGCAGGAAGAGUUUGGGGCAGGGGAUUGUUUGGGUUUUUUUUUUACUUUGCAGAUAAUCACUCAUUUUUCUUUGACUUAUUAAAUCUUUUCCAUUUGGGACAGAUCCUCAGCUGGUUAACUUGGCAUACCGCCAGCAUCUUGUUCAUUGUGUUCAUAAUGUAUUUCAUGAAUAAAUCUCCUACUCUGUCUCAAAA